AAAACCUAACCACCGCAGUUGGUUGGUUAGGGUUAGAAAGAGUUGGGUUUCGGCUAUCUACUUUAGGAUGGACCCGCGGUGCAUUAGUUAGUUGGUGAGGUAAAGGCUCACCAAGACCGUGAUGCAUAGCCGACCUGAGAGGUAAUCGGCCACACUGGGACUGAGACACGGCCCAGACUCCUACGGGAGGCAGCAGUAGGGAAUCUUCCACAAUGGACGAAAGUCUGAUGGAGCAACGCCGCGUGAGUGAAGAAGGUUUUCGGAUCGUAAAACUCUGUUGUUGGAGAAGAAUGUAUCUGAUAGUAACUGAUCAGGUAGUGACGGUAUCCAACCAGAAAGCCACGGCUAACUACGUG
RNAcentral lists this ribosomal RNA (356 nucleotides) under uncultured bacterium. RNAcentral's name for it is "bacterial SSU rRNA". It matches the Rfam family "Bacterial small subunit ribosomal RNA", at positions 173 to 507 of the family's 1533-position model. The record is from RNAcentral.